ACAAAGGUGCCGAGCAACAGAAAAGUUAAAAAAAACAACAUCACGAGUUUGUGUUAGCGCAGUUUGAAACAGGAGAGCACACCGCUGCAGAGUUCCUUUCACAACCUGUGACCUCUAUUCAGGAGUGCCAAUGCAGUCUGGAUAUCCAUCUUCAUGCCCCCCUGGAGGGUACCCUCAGCCAGGCCCUCCCGGUCCUGGAGGUUAUCCUCAGCUAGGCCCCGUUGGCCCUGGAGGAUAUUUCCAACCAUACCCCCCUGGCCCUGGAGCCUAUCCUCAGCCAUACCCUGUUGGACCUGGGGGCUACCCUCAGCCUUGUCCUCCUAUAUCUGGUGGCCACCACCAUCAUGGCUGUGUUCAGCCAGGUUGUACGCCUGGAAACUGCUGCCACACGGAACAUCAUGGUAAAGGUCAUCAUGGUCUUCAUGGUCUUCUUCAUCAACUUACACACCCUGGGCACCAUGGGCAUCAUGGGCACCAUGGGCAUCACGGGCAUCAUGGGCAUCACGGGCAUCAUGGGCAUCAUGGACAUCAUGGGCACCAUGGGCAUCACUGACAUCACAGGCAUCAUCAUUCCAGCUCAGGCAGUGAUUCUGAUUAAGAAGAUGUGGUGUGAUGGCAGCCAGAGGCUCCUGUGGAAUGCUGGGGAAAGAUGAAGAUGAGCGUCAAAUGGGUCUUUCUUAAGGGGAAAAUUCAAGACAAUGUAACAGUCUUGUGUCAUUUAAAACUUUCUGAUGUUCUUUUGAACAUGCAGUAAUAUAUAUGAUUUCCUAUAUGUCUUAUUAAAAAUCAAUUAACUGUUUAUUUAUAGUAAAAUGUCUAUAUUUUUUUCAGUGCCGUUUGAAAUGCGUCUAAUACAUGAUUCACGGCUUCUCUCAUUGCAGAGCUUUGGUCAAUAGGAAUUAUGAGCUGAUUUCAAUUUAAACUUUUUUUUGGCUUUCCUGUUUUAAGCCUUUCAUGCUCAUAUAAGGUUUUGGAACACAUAAAUUUCAAUUCUCUUAAAAUUUUUUCAUUUUACACAGUUGAACUAAUUUUCCAUCUUUUUUGACAUCAUUUUAUGGAGCGUAUUGCUAGUGAAAUUAACCAUAAGUGCGUGUUGAGUGACAACACCAUCAAGACAUUACAAGGUCACACUGUGUACUUCUUAAUUAUCCAAGUUUGUGGAGAAAAACGCCAAGAGUUCAACAGGAAUUUCGUUAGUUCUUGGCAAAUGAAUCUUGUGCAAACAAAUGUUUUCAUUGUGAAGAUUGUGUAUUUUGGAUCUUUUGUUUAAUGUCUUUUGUUCUGGUGCCAUCCUAAAUCAUUACUGCCUCACUUGGCCUGGAGGAACAGAAACAACACAAACCAUCACCUCACCUUGUCAGACCUGCUCAAUCCAGUAUAGGCUGACAGGUAGGUAGCCAGAGACUAUCAGAGCAGCAGCAACCCUGGAUGAGAUGCCAGUCCAUCAUGGAGCUCAAUCCCAAAGGGACAAUCAGCAAUUAGCGUAACCCACGUCUUUGGUGAUGUGAGAGGAAAAUCCAGGCAGACGAGAGGAGGACGAGCAAAAUUCACACAGAGAAUGCCCGGUGUAAGGAGCACUAACUACAACCUUCACUAGUAGGUGCAUUACAUUUAAAAUGUGGAAGUGUAGCCAUUAUGAAGUGUUUGCGUGUUUUCUCUUGCAUCACUACUUUUCAGUAAACGUUCUGAUUAUGAACAUCA
This is an RNA transcript of Erpetoichthys calabaricus (reedfish), 1701 nucleotides long. RefSeq lists it as uncharacterized. The transcript has 4 exons. NCBI's taxonomy places the organism in Eukaryota, Metazoa, Chordata, Cladistia, Polypteriformes, Polypteridae. The record is from RefSeq and is a predicted model, not a curated record.